UAGUCACUUCCGACAAAACAAUGAGCAC
Molecule: small RNA, 28 nt
Filed under: Bombyx mori (domestic silkworm)
Lineage: Eukaryota; Metazoa; Arthropoda; Insecta; Lepidoptera; Bombycidae
Description: ovarian small RNA-22975
Source: RNAcentral